GUCACCAUUAAUUGAAAUGUCCAUGACCCUCUGUCCCACAGAUGUAACUGAAGGAUCAAUUUCCGCAAAGUGUAACCAAACAGAGUACUUUUUAUUGGGAUCGAUAUCCAUUGUGUAUGUCAAUUCUGGCUCAUUGUCAGUGCUAAGAAGAGCAGUUUGAUAAAUAGAUCCUGGAUAAAAGUUUGGUGCUUUGGAAGUUGACUUUGUACUGUUUUUGGUAGAAAUGCGACGAUCAGAAUUCUGGCCAAAUGUCUUGAUUGAACUCCAAAACCGAUCACCACCCCAAUGAUCGCCACUGUAG
This 301-nucleotide unclassified non-coding RNA is filed under the name Hevea brasiliensis (rubber tree). Lineage: Eukaryota; Viridiplantae; Streptophyta; Magnoliopsida; Malpighiales; Euphorbiaceae. The record is from RNAcentral.